This 85-nucleotide transfer RNA is filed under the name Felis catus (domestic cat). It matches the Rfam family "tRNA". Rfam says of the family: Transfer RNA (tRNA) molecules are approximately 80 nucleotides in length. The record is from Rfam by way of RNAcentral. Lineage: Eukaryota; Metazoa; Chordata; Mammalia; Carnivora; Felidae.
GCCUGGGUGGCUCAGUUGGUUGAGCCUCUGACUUUGGCUCAGGUCAUGAUCUCACAGUCUGUGAGUUCAAGCCCUGCAUCAGGCU